GUCUCUUUAGUUGCAAUUUGUUUAGUCAUCGAUCACUGCCCUUAAAAAUCCUUCAAAUUAUACUAAAUAUUUGCUUAAUGUUUAAUUGAUACUUUAUCGAUUCUUUGCAAAUUGGUUUUAUAUUUUCAAAUCUUGUUCAUUUGCGGACAAGAUCAAAUUUCUGGCCCAACGUGAACCUCCGCCAACACCCAUUGUUGUGCAAUGUUUUCAUAUAAUUCGAUGCAAUUUUCUCUUUAUUCAAAUCCCCAGCUUCGAUCUCGGGUAUCUGCGAAUAGAGCCAUCCGAUCUGCAGAUAUCCAACUAACACACAUUGUCGUGGCAAUGUGUUCCUGAAUACUAUCUAAAUUUACCUUAAACGAUCUGCUGUGCACCAGCCCUGGCAGAUUGCCCUAAUCCUAAUGCUGAUCGGGGCGAUUAGCCGGCGAUUAGACAUGUAAAUAUUUGUGUUCUUCAAUGGCGCAAUCGGGGCCUCUGUCGCAGAUCGUUGAUUGGAUCAUGUUCAGCUUAGGAUCGAGUGCUGAGCUGAUCUCUCAUCCCUGAUCGCAUCCGAUUCCAUUCGAUGGCAACGGAAGUGUCAUACUUGGAAUCGGAACUGCCCCUUCUCGGCAGGCGGACGCCUCUGUCUGCUGUGCCGGACAAAUCAAAUGCCUGGACAUUCCACAAAAAAUAUCUGUGGAGCCCCAAAAGAACGUUAAAACGAGGCCAACGCGGUACAACCACAAUGAGGAAUUGCACUCUGGUGGCUUCCUCCUGGCGAAGGGAAGGAAGAGUGGCGAGUGGCGAGUGGGUGGUGAUGCCGUGCUCCUCUGAUGUGGUGUGGUUUGGUGUUUGGGGCAGCCACGAGUCAAGAUGCUGCGGCUUCGGAGCCAACCAAAAUGUCGCGAUGUCGCUCUCUGUCUCUGUUUCUCUCUCCCACUCCCACUACCACUCUCUUUCUGUUUCUCUCUGUCAGCACACUUCCAAUAAAUCGCUGCCUUUCCCGGCAACAGCGGCGUCGACUCCUCUGCUUUUGUACGUGCGCGCCCGCUCGCUGUGAGGGCCAACAGCACAGACGACGGACUUGGCCACAGGUUACUUGCCAGCUUCAGCGUUGAGCGUUAGCGUGCGACAAGGACGCGCUGUCAGAGCGCGAAUUUUCCAGCGAAACUGGGCAGCAGCUUCUGGUCAUAGUCUGAGUCGAAGUCUGGGUUCCUUGUAGCAUGUCCGGGGUGCUGGACCCCGCUGCGUUUUUCCUCGUUUUCCUCAAUUUUCGUGGGCCCAUUCAGCGCCCGCUGAUCGAUCGACGAGCGACGAGCGACGAUCGACAGAAGCCGGAGAGCGCGCGCGUCCAUCGCGACAGGAGGAAGGAUCAUGUCGCGAUUGCGCUUCCUUCCACCUACCUGUAUGUACCUCACGGCCUCUGCCAUUACGCGCAGCUGUACCAGGAGCCCACUCCUACCCUUUUUUAUGGAUUUUUUGAACGCCCCACACUAAAGCAAAAAAUUACUAAGUGAUCGGUAAAACUUCGAGCAGGUAUUGGCUGGUCCCAGGUCUCGAAACCACACCAAAGCGCAAUCUCGCGACCUCCACGUAAUCCUUUACUUACGAAAGUCAAUCGCCGGGAUUAGCCAGCACGCCCCGCAAAUAUUUUGGCCGAUUAGCCGCCCCGCCAUCGUAAACCCGUGCCGAUCCGCGCACAAAAAAUAUCCCAUAGUUUGCUACCUGUUUCUGGUAGGAUUUCGCGUUUUAUUUUUUGUGCAUUUGGGGGAGAGAGGGCGGUCGGGAUUAGACGGGUAGGUUCAGGGAUCACCGCGAAUGGAUUAGCGGAGCAGUCGUUUAAGGUCUCGUUUUAUUGGACUUUAAUUGAAGCGAUACAAGGCUCCGAUGGGGAGUGGGAGCUGAAGCAAGAAGACGGUAGAGCUAAACGAUUGAUUGUCAGAGGACUUUGGACAUAUUAUGAUAUCUGAAAUCAUCUUAAAUGAAAUCUCAAGAUCAAAUUGCAUCGUCCAUUACUUAUCUUCAAGUUGCCAAUUAAUUAAUUCAUGUUUCGUACUGACGUUUGCGUAGACACUUUUAGGAUCACUUUAAGGGAUAUUUGAACAUAAAAAAAACACUUCUGCAAAGCGAAUAUGCUAAUUCCAUUGCAUGAUCUCGUUCAAGUUCUGCACAAAACUGAGGAUCAUCCACCAUGAAACCCCAUAAAGAGUGUUUAUUUACCGCAUGAAAGGUCGCAUUGGGGAAUGGCCUGACCCAAAGCAAAACCUCAUCCCCCACAGGUCACACAGUGGCGAUCCUCCCCUAGAGCAGAAAGAGUGCAUGCCAUAAUGACACAGAGAGAACGCUCUUGAUCCCACCCCAAUCCAAGCGAGAGAGAGAGAGAGAGAAGCACAAGAUCGCGUGUGCUCCGCCAACCAAUGGAGGGAUCGCCUCCACCAGUGCGUGAUACGGGGUUGAUUUAUUAAUAGAGCGGAGCGUAUGGCCGCACUCGAGCGUGAAGAGAGUGAUCGAUGGAUGUGCGUGAGAGAGAGAGAGAGAAGAGUGAGUGAGUGAUCCGAUGGCUCCGCCUCCCAGUUCCUCAACGCUCCGUUCAGCACAGUAGAGGAGUGCAGCAGCCACAGACCAGCACCGACCGCUGCCGCUAAC
RNAcentral lists this long non-coding RNA (2622 nucleotides) under Drosophila guanche. Lineage: Eukaryota; Metazoa; Arthropoda; Insecta; Diptera; Drosophilidae. The record is from RNAcentral.